AGCGGGGGAUAACUAUUGGAAACGAUAGCUAAUACCGCAUAAGAGUGGAUGUUGCAUGACAUUUGCUUAAAAGGUGCACUUGCAUCACUACCAGAUGGACCUGCGUUGUAUUAGCUAGUUGGUGGGGUAACGGCUCACCAAGGCGACGAUACAUAGCCGACCUGAGAGGGUGAUCGGCCACACUGGGACUGAGACACGGCCCAGACUCCUACGGGAGGCAGCAGUAGGGAAUCUUCGGCAAUGGACGGAAGUCUGACCGAGCAACGCCGCGUGAGUGAAGAAGGUUUUCGGAUCGUAAAGCUCUGUUGUAAGAGAAGAACGAGUGUGAGAGUGGAAAGUUCACACUGUGACGGUAUCUUACCAGAAAGGGACGGCUAACUACGUGCCAGCAGCCGCGGUAAUACGUAGGUCCCGAGCGUUGUC
Molecule: ribosomal RNA, 423 nt
Filed under: uncultured bacterium
Lineage: Bacteria
Description: bacterial SSU rRNA
Rfam family: Bacterial small subunit ribosomal RNA
Source: RNAcentral